CAGUGACCCAUUUAACGGCCGCGGUAUCCUAACCGUGCGAAGGUAGCGUAAUCACCUGUUUUUUAAUUAAAGACCCGUAUGAAAGGCACCACGAGAAUCACACUGUCUCCUAUUUUCAAUCAGUGAAACUAAUCUUCCUGUGAAAAAGCAGGAAUAAUUAUACAAGACGAGAAGACCCUUUGGAGCUUUAGACACAUGAUGACCUACUUCCACCAACAAAUGAACUCAUCUCUAGUCUUCGGUUGGGGCAACCACGGAGAAAAACAUAACCUCCGAGAUGAAUUUAUCUAACAAAAGCCACAACUUUAACUAUCAAAACUGACAUCAAUUGACCCAACACUUUGAUCAACGAACCAAGUUACCCAAGGGAUAACAGCGCAAUCCACUUUAAGAGUCCAUAUCGACAAGUGGGCUUACGACCUCGAUGUUGGAUCAAGAUAUCCCAGUGGUGCAGCCGCUACUAAUGGUUCGUUUGUUCAACGAUUAAAAUCUCACGUGAU
Molecule: ribosomal RNA, 500 nt
Filed under: Diasporus diastema (Caretta robber frog)
Lineage: Eukaryota; Metazoa; Chordata; Amphibia; Anura; Eleutherodactylidae
Description: partial large subunit ribosomal RNA
Rfam family: Bacterial large subunit ribosomal RNA
Source: RNAcentral